RNAcentral lists this unclassified non-coding RNA (337 nucleotides) under soil metagenome. Its description in RNAcentral is "partial contains 5.8S ribosomal RNA, internal transcribed spacer 2, and large subunit ribosomal RNA". The stretch from base 1 to 120 matches the Rfam family "5.8S ribosomal RNA", at positions 35 to 154 of the family's 154-position model. The record is from RNAcentral.
GAUGAAGAACGUAGCGAAAUGCGAUAAGUAAUGUGAAUUGCAGAAUUCAGUGAAUCAUCGAAUCUUUGAACGCACAUUGCGCCCGCCAGUAUUCUGGCGGGCAUGCCUGUUCGAGCGUCAUUUUCAUCAUCAAGCUCUGCUUGUGUUGGGGUCCUGCGGCUGCCCGCAGGCCCUGAAACCCAGUGGCGGGCUCGCUAGUCACACCGAGCGCAGUAGCACAUCUCGCUCAGGGCGUGCGGCGGGUUCUUGCCGUAAAACAACCCCCCCUUUUCACCAAGGUUGACCUCGGAUCAGGUAGGAAUACCCGCUGAACUUAAGCAUAUCAAUAAGCGGAGGA